Pelobates cultripes (western spadefoot toad) is the source of this 934-nucleotide non-coding RNA. Lineage: Eukaryota; Metazoa; Chordata; Amphibia; Anura; Pelobatidae. The record is from the annotation of a GenBank genome assembly.
GGGCAGUGAGGGCUGGAGUGUGGUGUACCAGGGAGGUCUGGUAUAAGGGCACUGAGGGUAGGAGUGUGGGGUGUCCGCGAGGUCUAGUAUAGGGGCAGUGAGGGCUGGAGUGUGGUGUACCAGGGAGGUCUGGUAUAGAGGCACUGAGGGCAGGAGUGUGGGGUGUCAGCGAGGUUUGGUAUAGAGGUACUGAGGGGUGGAGGGUGGUGUACCAGGGAGGUCUGGUAUAGGGGCAGUGAGGAUUUUGAAUAAAUUGGGUUAUAACUCCAUGCCAGGCAUUACAUGGACUAAUAUGGAGCUGGUCCCUCCCUGCACUUACACUACAGUAGCCUCGUUAAUGUAAUUAAUCUGGGCCUGGACUUGCAGGACUCCUUUUCCAGAGGAAGCAGACGUACUGUUACCCACGUCCAUCACACCUGCAGAGCUCAGGUUUCCCAUUUCUACUGCCAGACCUUUGGCCUCAUUUAAUGGCAGUCCCCAGGGUGUCGAAUGCCUAGCUAUGGGGGCCACGGGAUUUUAGGCUUCCCCGUUACUAUGUGUGGUGUGAUUAGGGACCCCGCUCUGGACCUCCGGUCUGCCCGCUGCUUUUCCAUUAUGUAUUCGUGGACAUCUGCCAUAAUCCUUUCCACGGUUUCUGUGGGAGGCGUACCUGGGAAAAAGGCCAGUCUGCUUUGGAGUUCUCUUCCAAACUCAUUCUGUGUGCUGUCCAUAAGAGGUGCUGCAGCAGCUGCCCGGUCUCCCUCCAUGAGUUCAGCAAUAAGGGUAGCUUUGGUUUUAUUGCUGGCAAUAAUUCCCCUUGCUUCCAAUAGUUCUUUUAGCGUGGCCCGUUUCAGGUUGGUAUAGUCUGUCCCCGUUCACUAUCCGUUCGGGUAUAUUCACAUACCCUUUCCUUUCGGUUCCAUACGAAAUAGCAAAUUUCCCAAAUGGCUGUAAC